RNAcentral lists this transfer RNA (88 nucleotides) under Pseudomonadota bacterium. Its description in RNAcentral is "Proteobacteria bacterium (activated sludge metagenome) tRNA-Leu". It matches the Rfam family "tRNA". From Rfam's summary of the family: Transfer RNA (tRNA) molecules are approximately 80 nucleotides in length. Their secondary structure includes four short double-helical elements and three loops (D, anti-codon, and T loops). Lineage: Bacteria; Pseudomonadati; Pseudomonadota. The record is from RNAcentral.
GCCUCUGUGGUGGAAUUGGUAGACGCGGCAGACUCAAAAUCUGCUGCCUUUCGCGGGCGUGCUGGUUCAAGUCCGGCCAGGGGCACCA